CCCUUAGAUGUUCUGGGCCGCACGCACGCUACACUGAUGAACGCAACGAGACCACCUGUACCGAAAGGCAUGGGUAAACUUGUGAAAGUUCAUCGUGAUGGGGAUAGAUUAUUGCAAUUAUUAAUCUUCAACGAGGAAUUCCUAGUAAGCGCGAGUCAUCAGCUCGCGUUGAUUACGUCCCUGCCCUUUGUACACACCGCCCGUCGCUCCUACCGAUUGAAUGGUCCGGUGAAAUCUUCGGAUUGCUGGAUAGGACUUCAUUGACCUAUCUGCGAGAAGUUGCUUGAACCUUAUCAUUUAGAGGAAGGAGAAGUCGUAACA
RNAcentral lists this ribosomal RNA (321 nucleotides) under uncultured eukaryote. RNAcentral describes it as "partial 18S ribosomal RNA". It matches the Rfam family "Eukaryotic small subunit ribosomal RNA", at positions 1470 to 1796 of the family's 1831-position model. The record is from RNAcentral.